This 252-nucleotide ribosomal RNA is filed under the name uncultured bacterium. Its description in RNAcentral is "partial 16S ribosomal RNA". It matches the Rfam family "Bacterial small subunit ribosomal RNA", at positions 334 to 585 of the family's 1533-position model. The record is from RNAcentral.
CCUUCCUACGGGAGGCAGCAGUGGGGAAUAUUGCACAAUGGGCGCAAGCCUGAUGCAGCGACGCCGCGUGCGGGAUGGAGGCCUUCGGGUUGUAAACCGCUUUUGUUCAAGGGCAAGGCACGGUCUUUGGCCGUGUUGAGUGGAUUGUUCGAAUAAGCACCGGCUAACUACGUGCCAGCAGCCGCGGUAAUACGGAGGAUGCGAGCGUUAUCCGGAUUUAUUGGGUUUAAAGGGUGCGCAGGCGGACCAUCA